ACGGGUGAGUAACACGUGGGCAAUCUGCCCUUCACUCUGGGACAAGCCCUGGAAACGGGGUCUAAUACCGGAUAUCACUUCCACUCGCAUGGGUGGGGGUUGAAAGCUCCGGCGGUGAAGGAUGAGCCCGCGGCCUAUCAGCUUGUUGGUGAGGUAACGGCUCACCAAGGCGACGACGGGUAGCCGGCCUGAGAGGGCGACCGGCCACACUGGGACUGAGACACGGCCCAGACUCCUACGGGAGGCAGCAGUGGGGAAUAUUGCACAAUGGGCGAAAGCCUGAUGCAGCGACGCCGCGUGAGGGAUGACGGCCUUCGGGUUGUAAACCUCUUUCAGCAGGGAAGAAGCGAAAGUGACGGUACCUGCAGAAGAAGCGCCGGCUAACUACGUGCCAGCAGCCGCGGUAAUACGUAGGGCGCAAGCGUUGUCCGGAAUUAUUGGGCGUAAAGAGCUCGUAGGCGGCUUGUCACGUCGGGUGUGAAAGCCCGGGGCUUAACCCCGGGUCUGCAUUCGAUACGGGCUAGCUAGAGUGUGGUAGGGGAGAUCGGAAUUCCUGGUGUAGCGGUGAAAUGCGCAGA
RNAcentral lists this ribosomal RNA (578 nucleotides) under uncultured bacterium. RNAcentral describes it as "bacterial SSU rRNA". It matches the Rfam family "Bacterial small subunit ribosomal RNA", at positions 102 to 694 of the family's 1533-position model. The record is from RNAcentral.